This 341-nucleotide ribosomal RNA is filed under the name Vairimorpha ceranae. RNAcentral's name for it is "Nosema ceranae partial small subunit ribosomal RNA". It matches the Rfam family "Microsporidia small subunit ribosomal RNA", at positions 16 to 360 of the family's 1311-position model. Lineage: Eukaryota; Fungi; Microsporidia; Nosematidae. The record is from RNAcentral.
GCCUGAGAUAGACGUUAUUCCGUAAGAUUCACCCAUGCAUGUUUCUGACAUUUGAAAAAUGGAUUGCUCAGUAAUACUCACUUUAUUUUAUGUAAAUUUUUAAUUAACUACGUUAAAGUGUAGAUAAGAUGUUUACAGUAAGAGUGAGACCUAUCAGCUAGUUGUUAAGGUAAUGGCUUAACAAGGCUGUGACGGGUAACGGUAUUACUUUGUAAUAUUCCGGAGAAGGAGCCUGAGAGACGGCUACUAAGUCUAAGGAUUGCAGCAGGGGCGAAACUUGACCUAUGGAUUUUAUCUGAGGCAGUUAUGGGAAGUAAUAUUAUAUUGUUUCAUAUUUAAAU